GACGAACGCUGGCGGCGUGCUUAACACAUGCAAGUCGUACGGUAAGGCCCUUUCGGGGGUACACGAGUGGCGAACGGGUGAGUAACACGUGAGUAACCUGCCCACAACUUUGGGAUAACGCUAGGAAACUGGUGCUAAUACUGGAUAUGUGCUCCUGCUGCAUGGUGGGGGUUGGAAAGCUCCGGCGGUUGUGGAUGGACUCGCGGCCUAUCAGCUUGUUGGUGGGGUAGUGGCCUACCAAGGCGGCGACGGGUAGCCGGCCUGAGAGGGUGACCGGCCACAUUGGGACUGAGAUACGGCCCAGACUCCGACGGGAGGCAGCAGUGGGGAAUAUUGCACAAUGGGCGCAAGCCGGAUGCAGCAACGCCGCGUGCGGGAUGACGGCCUUCGGGUUGGAAACCGCUUUCAGCAGGGACGAAGCUUUUUGUGACGGUACCUGCAGAAGAAGCACCGGCUAACUACGUG
RNAcentral lists this ribosomal RNA (465 nucleotides) under uncultured bacterium. Its description in RNAcentral is "partial 16S ribosomal RNA". It matches the Rfam family "Bacterial small subunit ribosomal RNA", at positions 28 to 507 of the family's 1533-position model. The record is from RNAcentral.